UACGGAGGGUGCAAGCGUUGUCCGGAUUUAUUGGGUUUGAAGGGUGCGUAGGCGGCCCGGUAAGUCAGUGGUGAAAGCCUCCAGCUCAACUGGAGAACUGCCAUUGAUACUGCCGGGCUUGAGUACAGACGAGGUUGGCGGAAUUGAUUGUGUAGCGGUGAAAUGCAUAGAUACAAUCAAGAACUCCGAUUGCGUAGGCAGCUAACUAGGCUGUAACUGACGCUGAGGCACGAAAGCGUGGGGAGCGAACAGG
Molecule: ribosomal RNA, 253 nt
Filed under: uncultured bacterium
Lineage: Bacteria
Description: partial 16S ribosomal RNA
Rfam family: Bacterial small subunit ribosomal RNA
Source: RNAcentral